AAAAUCAUUUUUUUAGCUGAGGAAAAUUGUUACGAAAAAGUUUUUGGCAGGAAUUGUUUUUUUUGGCGGGAAAAAAGUUUGGCGGAAAUUUUUUUUUUGGCGGAAAAUAAAAAUUUUGGCGCCAAAAAAUUGGCGGGAAAAGUUCAGUUUCCAAUUACAUGUUUCUAUUAGAUGAGGGUAAUUUGGUCAUUUUGUUCAAGGGAAAGGGUACUUUUAAAAAUGGAAAACAUAAAAGGGUAUUGUUGCAAAAAAAUAGUAAAAAAUGGGUAGUUUUGCAAAUCUCCAAUCAUAUAUAUACUAAGCUUCAAACUAGUUUAGUUUUGAUUUGUUUUCCGAUCCUAAACUUGAAUUAAGCUCAUGAUGUUGGGAGCCUAUAU
Molecule: small RNA, 377 nt
Filed under: Arabidopsis thaliana (thale cress)
Lineage: Eukaryota; Viridiplantae; Streptophyta; Magnoliopsida; Brassicales; Brassicaceae
Description: ATSL119550
Source: RNAcentral